UUGGCAGGAUGUUGAACACAUCAGCAGCUUGUGAAGUCCAUAUUAGGUUCACUGCAUGCUCGUCUUACUUGUCCACCACAAUUUAACAAUAGUCUCACAAUGGGGCUGUUGUUUUGAGACAAUUGUAUGAGCAAUGAAUCUCCCUGUGUUGACUUUUGAACUAUUUAUUUUUGUCUGUAACAGUGUUCAUCAAACUCAGUCUUUGGCUUUGCCUUGCAGUAGCUAUUCAACUGCUUGUUUGUGACAAUGUAUUGUGUUGGAUCCCUUCAAAAAUUAACAAUUUUGCCACUUGAAGUAGCUGGACUUUGUGUCACCAUGUUGAGAAGAUCCAGUCCACUGCAAUGAAAAGAAGCAGGAGAAGUAGGGGUCCAGUCUAGUCCAGUGACAUAGAGAUGGGCAUGACACUGAUGCUGUAUUUAACAAAUAUUUGAUAAUUGUUAUUUAACUUCAGUUAGGCUGUAUCACCAAUAUAAAAAUGAUUAACAUAAACACCAUGCCCUUCUGACCCAUCUUAUUUUAUGAGUUUUCUUGAACUUCGUUUCUGUUGACUAUCCACCCAGUUGAAAAAUGCGAGUUUGACCACAAAUUCUCUUGAGAAAUGUCAUGAGCUUUUGUCGUAUUCUUCAGGAGAGAGGAACUGUAUAAUUUUCCAACAGAGUUGAGAAAAAAACAAUAAUAUGGGUAAGGCUAUUUUGUUUUGUUUUGUAUUGUUAUAUCAAUGAAUUUAAAAUCCCAAGAUUAAUCCCAAUACACAGAGACGGCACUGUGAAAACCUUUCUGUUUUGUUGCUUGCUGGGAGGAAACCAAGUCGGCCAAAUAUAACAGCAUAUUUUGCCUGAAGUUGCUCCUGAGAUUAGGGCUUACUUUAGACGAAACCGAUGCAAACAUGACUGUUGGGGGGGAGGUACAAACAAAGACCGAAUAUACUUCUCUGUAGCCCCAAAAUUCCACUUCGAAUUCAAGCAACUGCACAUGAUCACACAAACUCAGGAGGACAGAAAACCAAGGGCCUCAGAAAGAAAAAAAAAAGUUUAGCUUUUGGCUACCAGAACAAGCAUAUGUGCAGAUUGAGAGAGAGGCUUGACAAAAAGCAUCUGAUCAACGGAUCCCCCCCUCCUCCUUUCUCCUUAUUUGCCCCCACUUUUGCAAUGAUAAGCGAGAGGCUUAAUGUGCCCUCCAGUUCUGAUAC
Molecule: long non-coding RNA, 1189 nt
Filed under: Physcomitrium patens
Lineage: Eukaryota; Viridiplantae; Streptophyta; Bryopsida; Funariales; Funariaceae
Description: long non-coding RNA (PPAT_LNC008810)
Source: RNAcentral